RNAcentral lists this ribosomal RNA (292 nucleotides) under uncultured bacterium. RNAcentral describes it as "partial 16S ribosomal RNA". It matches the Rfam family "Archaeal small subunit ribosomal RNA", at positions 455 to 747 of the family's 1478-position model. The record is from RNAcentral.
GUGCAGCCGCCGCGGUAAUACCGGCAGCCCGAGUGAUGGCCGAUCUUAUUGGGCCUAAAGCGUCCGUAGCUGGCUGCGCAAGUCCGUCGGGAAAUCCACUCGCCCAACGAGUGGGCGUCCGACGGAAACUGCACAGCUUGGGACCGGAAGGCUCGAAGGGUACGUUCGGGGUAGGAGUGAAAUCCCGUAAUCCCGGACGGACUACCGAUGGCGAAAGCACUCUGAGAAGACGGCUUCGACAGUGAGGGACGAAAGCUCGGGUCUCAAACCGGAUUAGAAACCCCGGUAGUCC